UACGUAGGCAGCAAGCGUUGUUCGGAGUUACUGGGCGUAAAGGGCCAGUAGGCGGCCAACUAAGUCGGAUGUGAAAUCCCCAGGCUUAACCUGGGAACUGCAUCCGAUACUGGAUGGCUUGAAUUCGGGAGAGGGAUGCAGAAUUCCAGGUGUAGCGGUGAAAUGCGUAGAUAUCUGGAGGAAUACCGGUGGCGAAGGCGGCAUCCUGGACCGACAUUGACGCUGAACGGCGAAAGCUAGGGGAGCAAACGGG
RNAcentral lists this ribosomal RNA (253 nucleotides) under uncultured bacterium. RNAcentral's name for it is "partial 16S ribosomal RNA". It matches the Rfam family "Bacterial small subunit ribosomal RNA", at positions 524 to 776 of the family's 1533-position model. The record is from RNAcentral.